GGUGAGCUCCCAUUGCUCUGCCCCAGCUCCUGCCAACCUAGCAGGUCGAAAGCAUACCAGUGCAAGUAGAUAAAUAGGUACCGCUGUGGCGGGAAGGUAAAUGGCGUUUCCAUGCGCUCUGGCUUCCGUCAUGGUGUUCCAUUGCACCAGAAGUGGCUUAGUCAUGCUGGCCACAUGACCCGCAAACCUGUCUGGACAAACACCAGCUCCCUUGGCCUGAAAGCGAGAUGAGCGCCACAACCCUGCCUUUAACUGGACUUCGAAUCCACAUGAUGGUGUGAGCUCCCAUUGCUCUGUCCCAGCUUCUGCCAACCUAGCAGUCUGAAAGCACACCAGUGCAAGUAGAUAAAUAGGUACCGCUGCGGCGGGAAGGUAAAUGGCGUUUCCAUGCACUCUGGCUUCCGUCAUGGUGUUCCAUUGCACCAGAAGCAGUUUAGUUAUGCUGGCCACAUGACCCGGAAAGCUGUCUGUGGACAAACGCUGGCUCCCUCGGCCUGAAAGUGAGAUGAG
Podarcis lilfordi (Lilford's wall lizard) is the source of this 510-nucleotide non-coding RNA. The record is from the annotation of a GenBank genome assembly. NCBI's taxonomy places the organism in Eukaryota, Metazoa, Chordata, Lepidosauria, Squamata, Lacertidae.